CAUAAUUAUAGCUCAGAUAAAGCAAAUAUAAAUAUCCUCAAUUACCACAACGACAAAUUCUCCAAAAAUUAUCGCAGUUAUCAUUAUUUAACAUCAACAGCUCCCUACUGUAACAUAUAUGACUCAUGUGUGACUCCGUGCAAAUGCCUUUGGUACCAAAGUGUUAUCCUUAGCGGUAUCACCACGUCCACUCAAGAAAGAUAACCACCAAAAAAG
Molecule: long non-coding RNA, 216 nt
Filed under: Lotus japonicus
Lineage: Eukaryota; Viridiplantae; Streptophyta; Magnoliopsida; Fabales; Fabaceae
Description: long non-coding RNA (LJAP_LNC000165)
Source: RNAcentral